CGGACGGGUGAGUAACACGUGGAUAACCUACCUAUAAGACUGGGAUAACUUCGGGAAACCGGAGCUAAUACCGGAUAACAUGUUGAACCGCAUGGUUCAACAGUGAAAGACGGUCUUGCUGUCACUUAUAGAUGGAUCCGCGUCGCAUUAGCUAGUUGGUAAGGUAACGGCUUACCAAGGCAACGAUGCGUAGCCGACCUGAGAGGGUGAUCGGCCACACUGGAACUGAGACACGGUCCAG
Molecule: ribosomal RNA, 241 nt
Filed under: uncultured Staphylococcus sp.
Lineage: Bacteria; Bacillati; Bacillota; Bacilli; Caryophanales; Staphylococcaceae
Description: partial 16S ribosomal RNA
Rfam family: Bacterial small subunit ribosomal RNA
Source: RNAcentral